RNAcentral lists this ribosomal RNA (438 nucleotides) under uncultured bacterium. Its description in RNAcentral is "partial 16S ribosomal RNA". It matches the Rfam family "Bacterial small subunit ribosomal RNA", at positions 29 to 507 of the family's 1533-position model. The record is from RNAcentral.
AACGAACGCUGGCGGCAUGCCUAACACAUGCAAGUCGAACGAGACCUUCGGGUUUAGUUGCGCACGGGUGCGUAACGCGUGGGAACUUGCCCUUAGGUUCGCAAUAACUCCCCGUAAGGUGUGCUAAUACCGGAUAAUGUCUUCGGACCUAAGAUUUAUCGCGGUUGGAUGGGCUCUCGUUGGAUUAGCUAGUUGGUGGUGUAGAAGCCUACCAAGGCGUCGAUCGAUAGCUGGUCUGAGAGGAUGACCAGCCACACUGGGACUGAGAUACGGCACAGACUCCUACGGGAGGCAGCAGUGGGGAAGAUUGCACAAUGGGCGGAAGCCUGAUGCAGCAACGCCGCGUGCGGGAUGACGGCCGUCGGGUUGUAAACCGCAUUCGCCUGAGACGAAGCGUGAGUGACGGUAAUGGGUAAAGAAGCACCGGCUAACUACGUG